This 468-nucleotide ribosomal RNA is filed under the name uncultured bacterium. RNAcentral describes it as "partial 16S ribosomal RNA". It matches the Rfam family "Bacterial small subunit ribosomal RNA", at positions 28 to 507 of the family's 1533-position model. The record is from RNAcentral.
GACGAACGCUGGCGGCGUGCUUAACACAUGCAAGUCGAACGGAAAGGCCCUGCUUUUGUGGGGUGCUCGAGUGGCGAACGGGUGAGUAACACGUGAGUAACCUGCCCUUGACUUUGGGAUAACUUCAGGAAACUGGGGCUAAUACCGGAUAGGAGCUCCUGCUGCAUGGUGGGGGUUGGAAAGUUUCGGCGGUUGGGGAUGGACUAGCGGCUUAUCAGCUUGUUGGUGGGGUAGUGGCUUACCAAGGCUUUGACGGGUAGCCGGCCUGAGAGGGUGACCGGCCACAUUGGGACUGAGAUACGGCCCAGACUCCUACGGGAGGCAGCAGUGGGGAAUAUUGCACAAUGGGCGGAAGCCUGAUGCAGCAACGCCGCGUGCGGGAUGACGGCCUUCGGGUUGUAAACCGCUUUCGCCUGUGACGAAGCGUGAGUGACGGUAAUGGGUAAAGGAGCACCGGCUAACUACGUG